This 468-nucleotide ribosomal RNA is filed under the name uncultured bacterium. Its description in RNAcentral is "partial 16S ribosomal RNA". It matches the Rfam family "Bacterial small subunit ribosomal RNA", at positions 28 to 507 of the family's 1533-position model. The record is from RNAcentral.
GACGAACGCUGGCGGCGUGCUUAACACAUGCAAGUCGAACGGAAAGGCCCUGCUUUUGUGGGGUGCUCGAGUGGCGAACGGGUGAGUAACACGUGAGUAACCUGCCCUUGACUUUGGGAUAACUUCAGGAAACUGGGGCUAAUACCGGAUAGGAGCUCCUGCUGCAUGGUGGGGGUUGGAAAGUUUCGGCGGUUGGGGAUGGACUCGCGGCUUAUCAGCUUGUUGGUGGGGUAGUGGCUUACCAAGGCUUUGACGGGUAGCCGGCCUGAGAGGGUGACCAGCCACAUUGGGACUGAGAUACGGCCCAGACUCCUACGGGAGGCAGUAGUGGGGAAUAUUGCACAAUGGGCGGAAGCCUGAUGCAGCAACGCCGCGUGCGGGAUGACGGCCUUCGGGCUGUAAACCGCUUUCGCCUGUGACGAAGCGUGAGUGACGGUAAUGGGUAAAGAAGCACCGGCUAACUACGUG